ACAAAGUUGACAUUCCAUAACAAUUCCUCCAUAUGAUCAGGUACAGAAGCAGUUCCUGGGGACAUCUCCGAUUCCACCACUACCAACACUAGUCAUGCCACCAGUAGAAAUAGCCACUCCCCCUAUUGCCAUUCGAAAAGGUAUUAGAUUAUCUCGUAAUCCUCAUCCAAUUUAUAAUUUUUUGAGUUAUCACCGUUUGUCU
Molecule: unclassified non-coding RNA, 202 nt
Filed under: Hevea brasiliensis (rubber tree)
Lineage: Eukaryota; Viridiplantae; Streptophyta; Magnoliopsida; Malpighiales; Euphorbiaceae
Source: RNAcentral